GCUUUUUCAAUAAGAACAAAAUUUUGACUAUAGUCAGAAUACAAAAUUGUAUCCUUUAUUUUUUGAGUUGAGAGGAGAAAUUGGUGAGAAAACCUGUCAAGUUGUGUUUGCAUAUUUUGACUGUUUCCUGCAGGGGAACACCAGCCAUGAGUGACAAAUCUUGGUACAGUGUUCAAGUUAAAGAUUCAUUACUUCAACCUCCUUCAGAUGAUGGAGGAAAUGCAACGAUGUGCAAAUCUCCCUUUCUGAAUUCAUGCCUCUGCGGACAACAUGAGAUUCAGAAACCGGGGAAAUCACGGUUUCAGAUUCCAUCUUGUGUCCAAUGUUUGCCACAAGUGCUCUUGCUGCGAAUGGGAUGAGAAUGGAUUUGGUUGUAUGUGUGGUUGCAGACAAUCUUCAGGCUGUGAACAAAGUGGUAUCUCUAGCUCUUCAGGACCUUCUCUGAGACCAAUUUCUUGUACCCUACAUGCUUCUGCAACAACAUAGAGAAUCAGUUAUUUCUAUGAGCAGUUCUCCACGUUCCAGGAGGGCUCUUUUUUCCGGCUAACGAAGUCUGCAUGUCAGUGGAGUCUUCAGAAUUGACUGGAUUGUCACUUCAACUGUGAAAGCCAUGCCGCCUUUCCUACAUUAGAGAAGGGUAAACUGAAAGCAUGAGCAGUAUGUGGCACUCCUCCAUGAUCUCAGUGGCAUUUUGUAACAAGUAUAUGUCUUGACAUGAAAUAA
Molecule: long non-coding RNA, 723 nt
Organism: Pan paniscus (pygmy chimpanzee)
Lineage: Eukaryota; Metazoa; Chordata; Mammalia; Primates; Hominidae
Source: Ensembl